GACGAACGCUGGCGGCGCGCCUAACACAUGCAAGUCGAACGAGCGAGAGAGAGCUUACUUUCUCGAGCGAGUGGCGAACGGGUGAGUAACGCGCGAGGAACCUGCCUCAAAGAGGGGGACAACAGUUGGAAACGACUGCUAAUACCGCAUAAGCCCACGGCUCGGCAUCGAGCAGAGGGAAAAGGAGCAAUCCGCUUUGAGAUGGCCUCGCGUCCGAUUAGCUAGUUGGUGAGGUAACGGCCCACCAAGGCGACGAUCGGUAGCCGGACUGAGAGGUUGAACGGCCACAUUGGGACUGAGACACGGCCCAGACUCCUACGGGAGGCAGCAGUGGGGAAUAUUGCACAAUGGGGGAAACCCUGAUGCAGUGACGCCGCGUGGAGGAAGAAGGUCUUCGGAUUGUAAACUCCUGUUGUUGAGGAAGAUAAUGACGGUACUCAACAAGGAAGUGACGGCUAACUACGUGCCGGCAGCCGCGGUAAAACGUAGGUCACAAGCGUUGUCCGGAAUUACUGGGUGUAAAGGGAGCGCAGGCGGGAAGACAAGUUGGAAGUGAAAUCCAUGGGCUCAACCCAUGAACUGCUUUCAAAACUGUUUUUCUUGAGUAGUGCAGAGGUAGGCGGAAUUCCCGGUGUAGCGGUGGAAUGCGUAGAUAUCGGGAGGAACACCAGUGGCGAAGGCGGCCUACUGGGCACCAACUGACGCUGAGGCUCGAAAGUGUGGGUAGCAAACAGGAUUAGAUACCCUGGUAGUCCACACUGUAAACGAUGAUUACUAGGUGUUGGAGGAUUGACCCCUUCAGUGCCGCAGUUAACACAAUAAGUAAUCCACCUGGGGAGUACGACCGCAAGGUUGAAACUCAAAGGAAUUGACGGGGGCCCGCACAAGCAGUGGAGUAUGUGGUUUAAUUCGACGCAACGCGAAGAACCUUACCAAGUCUUGACAUCCUGCGACGCACAUAGAAAUAUGUGUUUCCUUCGGGACGCAGAGACAGGUGGUGCAUGGUUGUCGUCAGCUCGUGUCGUGAGAUGUUGGGUUAAGUCCCGCAACGAGCGCAACCCUUAUGGUCAGUUACUACGCAAGAGGACUCUGGCCAGACUGCCGUUGACAAAACGGAGGAAGGUGGGGAUGACGUCAAAUCAUCAUGCCCUUUAUGACUUGGGCUACACACGUACUACAAUGGCGUUAAACAAAGAGAAGCAAGACCGCGAGGUGGAGCAAAACUCAGAAACAACGUCCCAGUUCGGACUGCAGGCUGCAACUCGCCUGCACGAAGUCGGAAUUGCUAGUAAUCGCAGAUCAGCAUGCUGCGGUGAAUACGUUCCCGGGCCU
Molecule: ribosomal RNA, 1332 nt
Filed under: uncultured bacterium
Lineage: Bacteria
Description: bacterial SSU rRNA
Rfam family: Bacterial small subunit ribosomal RNA
Source: RNAcentral